Molecule: unclassified non-coding RNA, 255 nt
Filed under: Hevea brasiliensis (rubber tree)
Lineage: Eukaryota; Viridiplantae; Streptophyta; Magnoliopsida; Malpighiales; Euphorbiaceae
Source: RNAcentral
GGGCAAAAGCUCUUCCAAAACCGUCACGCUGUUCGGGAUGUUCACCACCUUAUUAUAGCGAGAGAUCUUUGUUAUAAAGUUGCGCGGAUUAUUCAAAUCAGAGGAUAUCGGCAUCCGAACUCUAAGAGUGCACACAUUGUCGUAUUCACUCAACAGCUCUUCGACCAUGGCCUUGGUCUUCGAGUAGAAUGAACCAGUGAAAUUCGGCUUAUCUUCCUCCGUGAAACCGAUGCCUGACCCUUCAGGAUGUAGAGC